AUAAAAUGUGUAUAAAACAAGAAGUAAUUGUAACAGGAUGCUGUUACGAAGUCUCCCAAACAAAGCUCCGAUAACUCCCCAUUCAUAUGGUCCCAUGUUCAUUUGAUUUGAUUUUUUGUCCCAUACAAGAAUAUAUAUGGCUUACGAGUAGGGAUCUCAACCAUUUACAAGUUUUCAAACAGAAGGGGGUGGUGGUGACCCCAGGACUUUACCUACAUUUCAUUUGAUUUGUUUUAUUGUCCCCUACAAGAUAAUAUAUGGUUUAGGGGUGGGGAUCUGGACCGUUUACAAGAUAAAAGUACAUUCUAAAAUUGAACAGGGUGGGGGUGACCCCCAGGAACUUCCAUCUAAUUUCAUGUGAUUUGUUUUAUUGUCCCAUACAAGAAUAUAUAUGGUUUAGGGGUGGGGAUCUAGAACCGUUUUCAAGUUUUCAAACAAGAGGGGGUGGGGUGACCCCCUAUGGACUUCCCUUUUAUUUCAUUUGAUUUGUUUUAUUGUCCCCUACAAGAAUAUAUAUGGUUUAGGGGUGGGGAUCUGGACCGUUUACAAGUUUUCAACCUAGAGGGGGUGGGGUGACCCCCUUUGGACUUCCCUUUUAUUUCAUUUGAUUUGUUUUAUUGUCCCCUACAAGAAUAUAUAUGGUUUAGGGGUGGGGAUCUGGACCGUUUACAAGUUGUCAACCUAGAGGGGGUGGGGUGACCCCCUAGGGACUUCCCUUUUAUUUCAUUUGAUUUGUUUUAUUGUCCCCUACAAGAAUAUAUAUGGUUUAGGGGUGGGGAUCUGGACUGUUUACAAGAUAAUAGUACAUUCUCAAAUUGAACGGGGUAGGGGUGACCCCCAGGAACUUCCAUCUAAUUACAUGUGAUUUGUUUCAUUGUCCCCUACAAGAAUAUAUAUGGUUUAGGGGUGGGGAUCUGGACCGUUUACAAGUUUUCAAACAAGAAGGGGUGGGGUGACCCCCUAGGGACUUCCUUUUUAUUUCAUUUGAUUUGUCUUAUUGUCCCCUACAAGAAUAUAUAUGGUUUAGGGGUGGGGAUCUGGACCGUUUAAAAGUUUUCCAACAAGGGGGGUGGGUGACCCCCAGGGACUUCUUUUUUAUUUCAUUUGAUUUGUUUUAUUGUCCCCCACAAGAAGAAUAUAUAUGGUUUAGGGGUGGGAUCUGGACUGUUUACAAGAUAAUAGCAACAUUCUCAAAUUGAAGGGGGUGGGGAUGACCCCCCAGGGCAUCCCCCUAUAUUUCAUGUGAAUUAUUUUAUUGUCCUAUUAUCAUUUCUGAAGACUGUAUGUAUCUAUCACUUAUAGUUUUCAAGUUAUAUUCAUUUAAAAAAUUUUGAAAAUAAAAUCCCAUAGGGUUCUAUAGUAAAACCCUCCCUGCUUUCUACCCCCCAAAAUACCCCUUAAUAGACCCCAAUGCACAAACGAAAGAUUGAUGGCUCACCUAGACAUAUUAGUCUACCAUUUUAUGAAACCCUAAGUAAAUCUGACAAGUGGUUUUGGAGAAACGCUGCGGACAAGUUCAUUUUUUAAAGUGGCGGAAGAAAAAGAAAAAGAAAAAGAAGAAGAAUAAUAAAAAUAAUAAGAACUGAGCAAAAACAAUAAGUCUCCAAACUUUGUUUGGGAGACUUAAUUAAA
Molecule: long non-coding RNA, 1632 nt
Filed under: Mytilus galloprovincialis (Mediterranean mussel)
Lineage: Eukaryota; Metazoa; Mollusca; Bivalvia; Mytilida; Mytilidae
Source: RNAcentral